Molecule: long non-coding RNA, 742 nt
Filed under: Pongo abelii (Sumatran orangutan)
Lineage: Eukaryota; Metazoa; Chordata; Mammalia; Primates; Hominidae
Description: lincRNA
Source: RNAcentral
CAUCUGUUUUAUUCAGUUUCUUCAGUGUGUCCAGCAGUUUCUGUGGGGUGAGGAUGUGCGUGGAUCCUGGAGGAGGCAGAGAAGACAGUGAGCUUGCCAGUUCUGGUUUCUAACACUUCCUUUCCUGCGCUUCUUGAUUCCCAGAUCUGCACCCACCCCCCUCCCCCACCCUGGUCUGGGUCUAGUGGAAGCCAGGAGGGGAGUCAGGAUUGGGGUUAGGGUCCCGUCGCAAUAGGCCUGGGAGAUAUUUGGGGGCUGUGGAUAAACAAAACACAUCCUCUGGCUCAGGCAGGGUCCCAGGCUGCACCAAGGAACGAACCGCCUCACCAACAGGGUGCAGAGCCAUCUGCAGGUGAUGGGCAGCUGCGUUUCUAAUUCACUCUUAAACUCCAGGUGAAGCCAGGGAGAGAAAUUCCAAACAUGGCAAGGGGGGAAAGGUUGAAAAUGGGGUCAGAGUUGGUAGGGGGACCAUGUGUGGAAAGCAUGGUGCCUGAUAGAGGAAGUUGAUAGGCAAAGCCCCCUGGGAGAAUCCACUGACCUCUGGGAGCCAGCCAGUUGGUACUGCCCUGGUGGGUGGGACCUCAGGUGUGAGAGGGAAAGGGCCAGGGGACCUGAGGUCUUACCUUGCAGAGACCGCGUAUUGUAAGAGAUUAGAAAUGCUUGCAAAAAUUUAAGCUAAUGGAAUUAGAUAUACUUCUACUGCAAAAAUAAAAAUAAAAAUAAAUGAAAGUCUUUGUCAUAA